CUGUGGCAAAUGUAUACACAGCCUUAGAAAGACUCCUCUUCUGUAAAGCGUGCAGUAAAUAGGUAGGUACUGGUAAGAUAAUUUAAGAAGUCAUGAUAGUUUAAAGAGGGAAUAUAGCAAACAAUAAUACAUAUUUUUGAAACAUUUUGUUUACAUUUUAAAAAUUGUAUGAAUGUUCAUUUUGUCAAUAUUUUUAUUGCCAAGGUUUUGUCACUGAAUAUCAUCCCUCCUCAACUGGAGUAUCUGUUUUCUUUCUCCCCUAAACAAUGUAAAGGUCAGAAUGCUAGGAGACAAGUGAUUCUGAUUAAGAAAGUUGAGCAAAGUUUUAAAAGGCUGCAGAUUAUAUUACCAUUCCCGGUGAGCAGCAGUCCCCUUUCCUGUAAGGGAAUUACACAUCCACCAUCCUCUCACCGAUACACACCCUCCAACCACAACCCAGAGUUCUGUCCCUCAAGAGGCCUUCUUUUGGGAGAAGCACGUUUGGCAGCUUGCACUACACCCUGACACACUCAUGACAUGGGACAGGAGAUGUCAGAGCUGAAUGAAAGCUUUUUUUUUUUUUUUUUUUUUUCCAGACGGAGUCUCGCUCUGUGUCCCAGGCUGGAGUGCAGUGGCGCGAUCUCGGCUCACUGCAAGCUCCGCCUCCCGGGUUCACGCCAUUCUCCUGCCUCAGCCUCCCGAGUACGCGGGACCACAGGCGCCUGCCAUCAUGCCCGGCUAAUUUUUUUUUGUUUGUUUUUGUUUUUUUGUAUUGUUAGUAGAGACGGGGUUUCACCAUGUUAGCCAGGAUGGUCUUGAUGUCCUGACCUCGUGACCCGCCCGCCUCGGCCUCCCAAAGUGCGAAUGAAAGCUUUAAGAGGGCUGCUUGUUUCUGGCAGCUCUCAGGUUCUUCCUGUCUGCCUCAGAAGUGGCAUAUUCCACAUACGGGCUGCAUCUUCAGUCUGGACUCAUCCUCUUCAAGAUGAGACAGGUGGAGCAGAGCUGCCACCAACCUCCGGUGAUUUCCACACAAUGUGUCCUAGAAGAAGAGACCCUACACUGGGCUUGUGACCAGCGGAAACUGAAUCAAUGCUGGAGACACAUUCUAACAGUCGAAUGGGCAGCUCACAGGAGCACAGAAGGCCCCCAGUCACUCAAGAACUUCUCACCUCCUAGAAGAUGUCGUGAAUUGUGAUUGAUGAUUCCUCCAGGAAGCACCAGUACCCUGAAACAACUUGCUUUCCAAAAUGCCUGUAAAGCAUUCACUUACAAGUACAGUCAUGCACCACUUAAUGACAGGGAUAGUUUCUGAGAAGGGUGUCCUUAGGCAAUUUCCUAAUUGUGCAAACAUCAUAGGGUGCACUUCCACAAACCUGGAUGGUGUAGGCUACUACACACCUAGGCUACAUGAAAUGGCCUGUUUCUCUUAGGCUGCAAACUUGUAUAACAUGUUACUGUACUGAAUACUGCAGGCAAUUGUAACACAGUGGUGUUUAUGUAUCUAAAAAUAGGUAAAUAUAGGUAAGGUACAGUAAAAAUAUGUUGUAAGAGAUUAAAAAAAAAAAAGAAACAACCCAGAACAUCUGUAUAGGGCACUUAUGAUAAAUGGAGUUGGAGAACUGAAAGUUGCUCUGGGUGAAUCAGUG
This 1625-nucleotide long non-coding RNA is filed under the name Homo sapiens (human). Its description in RNAcentral is "HSALNT0069851". Lineage: Eukaryota; Metazoa; Chordata; Mammalia; Primates; Hominidae. The record is from RNAcentral.